GUGGCUGGCGGCUGGGUGCCUUCUACUGGUGCUGUGCAGAGGCUUUCUCUAAGGCUGCUGUGAGCCUGUAGGGUUUCCCCCUAGGCUACUAAGCUGG
Non-coding RNA from Equus caballus (horse), 97 nucleotides. The record is from Rfam. NCBI's taxonomy places the organism in Eukaryota, Metazoa, Chordata, Mammalia, Perissodactyla, Equidae.